Molecule: ribosomal RNA, 430 nt
Filed under: uncultured Alphaproteobacteria bacterium
Lineage: Bacteria; Pseudomonadati; Pseudomonadota; Alphaproteobacteria
Description: bacterial SSU rRNA
Rfam family: Bacterial small subunit ribosomal RNA
Source: RNAcentral
AACGCGAAGAACCUUACCAGCCCUUGACAUCCCGGUCGCGGGAACGAGAGAUCGAUCCCUUCAGUUCGGCUGGACCGGAGACAGGUGCUGCAUGGCUGUCGUCAGCUCGUGUCGUGAGAUGUUGGGUUAAGUCCCGCAACGAGCGCAACCCUCGCCCUUAGUUGCCAUCAUUCAGUUGGGCCCUCUAAGGGGACUGCCGGUGAUAAGCCGCGAGGAAGGUGGGGAUGACGUCAAGUCCUCAUGGCCCUUACGGGCUGGGCUACACACGUGCUACAAUGGCGGUGACAGUGGGACGCAAUGGGGCAACCCUGCGCAAAUCUCAAAAAGCCGUCUCAGUUCGGAUUGUGCUCUGCAACUCGAGCACAUGAAGUUGGAAUCGCUAGUAAUCGCAGAUCAGCACGCUGCGGUGAAUACGUUCCCGGGCCUUGUA